Long non-coding RNA from Branchiostoma floridae (Florida lancelet), 1033 nucleotides. RefSeq lists it as uncharacterized. The transcript is spliced from 3 exons. The record is from RefSeq and is a predicted model, not a curated record. Lineage: Eukaryota; Metazoa; Chordata; Leptocardii; Amphioxiformes; Branchiostomatidae.
AGGAAUCGGGAGGGGGUAAAUCAAACACUGGGUACACCCACGUUUACAACGGCGAGUGUAGCGACUGGACCACUUUUAAGAAAUAAAGGGAGAGUACUUGAAACUCGUCAGGAAGAUUGUCAGGAGUCGAGAAGCCAUGGGGAUGAAUCUGAAACUCCUGCUCAUCUUGGUCGUAGCAGUGGCCAUUAUUUCGGACUCCGGAGAAGCCCACAAAAGAAGAGGCUCGAGGCGCACCGGCUUUCACGCCGACGGAAACGUCGCAGAAGCACGCGUGCCGCGGGACCUUGGAGCAGAUGUUCCACAUGUGAAUGAUGCGGAGAAGGCUGAAAAUCUCGCCAAGCUGGGGAAAACUCCCUGACCCGCAGAAAAACUAAAGAAUGAUUGCUGUCUGACGGGGUUUUGUUUGCUGUGACGGCUGAAGGAUGGUGAGACAUCACCCGGUGCUGUACAUGCUUCAUGACGUAACCGAGUCCAAAGUCUCACUAUUGUCAGAGGCCCCAGUGCGAUUUUAGCCGUAGUUGUGUGAAAUUUAAAGCGUUUUAAUUUUGUAGGCUUCAGCUUGCUUGAAACACUCGGUAGUAUGUGGUACGAAUAGUUGUUGCUCAUCAGAAGAGACACGUUCAUACUACAUGUAGUACAUUUUCACAAACAAGAAACUAAACAUGAUAAUCGUAAUGCAGAGGCACAAAGAGUUACAUUUAAUAGACGAAAGUACAGUGACGUUUGCUACAAACUCAUCAAAGUAAAAGCAAGCACAGGUAAAAUGCACGGAACAUCGGGAUGAUACUGUCAAUUUUGCUUCGUAUGAAAUUGUCAACCUGUAAAGUUCCGUUCUGUGUCAAGUCCUACAGUAUGUAACGUUAACGUUACACGUUCUUUCGGCUAACGUUCUGAAGAUCUGCAGGGUUUAACAGGGCACAAAUACGGUCUACGUGAUCACGUAAGACGUCUCCCUAAAGUUUAUUCUAACAGGAGAUUGGUGAUCUUCAUCAUAUUUCUGUAGUGUGAAUAAAAUGUGGUGUUCGAUACUGAG